RNAcentral lists this long non-coding RNA (1236 nucleotides) under Betta splendens (Siamese fighting fish). Its description in RNAcentral is "lncRNA (ENSBSLG00000009621.1)". The record is from RNAcentral. Lineage: Eukaryota; Metazoa; Chordata; Actinopteri; Anabantiformes; Osphronemidae.
ACUAUUUUCCGAUUUGUUAAAAGGCCUUGAUCAUCGUAACCCACACUGAUAUUGUCAUGAUUUGGGUUUUGUUUCUAGUUGUUUCCUGUCGUCACGCCAUGUCCUGUUUUAUUUUUAAACUUCCUGUUCUCUGUCAGCUGUCACUUACCUGUUCCCAGUAUCCACACCUGUCAGUAAUUACGUAAUCACUCUGUGUAUUUAGCCACCACCUGUUCCCAUAGUCCUUUGCCAGAUUGUCGAGUUUCUUUAGUUCCACACUCCGUUCCACCGUGUCGUGUCUAGUUCCCUCGUGUUUGACCCUGAUUACCUUGACCGCGUAUCCUGCCUGAUCCUUGUUUGUACCGUCGCCUGUGAAAAGAACCUGGACUAACUAUCUGACCGUGAGUUUGCCUUAUCCCUGCCUGUACUUUUGCCGAGCCCUUUUUGUGUAUGACCUGGACCGCCUGACUCUGCCUUAUCAAAUAAACCCGUGUUUUACAAUCAUCAUCGCGCCUCUGUGCUGUGCAUGUGGGACCGCCUGACUCUGCCUUAUCAAAUAAACCCGUGUUUUACAAUCAUCAUCGCGCCUCUGUGCUGUGCAUGUGGGUCCGACGCCUGCCCCAAGUCUGACAGAUAUACUUUUAUCAUCAGCCCCUCCCUCCACAGUCUGUCAUAUGCUUACUAACCCUGGAUCCUUCCCUGGUUAACAAAUAGGCACUAUUACUGACUUUUUCCACUCCUUUCCUAUUAUACAGUACAUCUCUAAUAACAUACCCUUCCCUUUCUCCCCUAAAUUCUAUAACAUGCUAUAGCUCACUUGAUCCUUCGCCACAUCUUUACAUUUCCUUAACGCUCUUUCCAGCUCUGCUCCACUAAAGUCCUUGUCCAUUACAUUCCACUCCUUUCUAUCCCCUCUUAGUUCUACUGUGUUUUGGUUUACCGUGUCCCUUCUUCUUCACUACUUAGACUAUCUAAGCUAUGAACUUUACUUAAAGCCUGUUUCAUAACCUGUGCUUUAAUUUUAUCCUCUACCAGCAAUUUUCCCUCACUCUUCAUUAUUGGAUAUCCAUAUUUCCUCCUCUUCCCAUCCAAACUCCUAAUUACAUUCCAAACCUUUCUUAAUGACGUGUAUUUCCCUAGUGACUCACAAAACGUCUGUCAAUGCUCUCUUUUUGCAUUUUUAAUAGUUUUCCUCACCACUUCCACCUUCCUCUUAUACUCCAACAGAUGUUCAAAAUUAUUUUUUAACAGUCUUAA